Molecule: long non-coding RNA, 2471 nt
Organism: Rosa rugosa (rugosa rose)
Lineage: Eukaryota; Viridiplantae; Streptophyta; Magnoliopsida; Rosales; Rosaceae
Exons: 9
Source: RefSeq, a predicted model, not a curated record
GGAAUACUGGCUGCUUAUCUACUAUUUAUCUCUAGCUUUCUGAGAGUUUGGUCUAUCCGUAAUCAGCAGUAGCAGCCAUAAUGAUAAGGGGUCAACUUUUGGUUACCUCCAGUAAUAUUUGCAAUUUUCACCUUUCAGAAAGAUUUCAAGGGGCCACCCAAGUUCGACUUCUAUCGACAGCAAAAGAGUCAAUCCUCUUUGGUGCUAGUGGAGUCACGUUGCUCGAGUUGGGGGUAAAUUUGUGUGAUCGAGGUUGAGGUUUGCAUCAUUUACUCUUUUGAUGUUCAUCGAUUUUGAAGUUACCCAAGAGUGUGCGGAGUUUGGGAGAGAGAUUUGUUUUCAAUACUCAAAAUUACAUGAGAGCUGAAAUGAAAUUCUUGCUUUUAAGAUUGAUGUUGGCGACAUAAAAAAAUCACGAUUGUAUCGCAUAAUUAAAGUUAAAAUUUAGAAAUAACAUACACUACUACAAAAAAUGAAUCACACGACACCUCUCAUACGACGCCACACUGUUUUCCGUGGUGUGAAUCAUUUCUCAUUAUUGAGACGACGGUUGUAAAAUUUCUGUCUUCUAAUAUGAAUUCAACCAACGGGUGUUUUUCAUGCUGAAAUUAUGUAUUGCUUCAGAAGACGUUUAUAAAUGAAAGCGUGGUAUGAGGUUAAAUUGUUAUAGAGGCGGCAAGUUUCGCACCAAUUGACACCACUUAAAUUUCCCUAGUGUGUAGUGGUGAUACGACAGUUAGCUUAAAACUGUGGUAUGAAUCUAUAGAUUUCCAAGAGCGAAAUAUGUCCACCAACAUUCCCCCCAAUUUUUCCCUCCAUACUCCCCCCAAACCCAUUUCCCUCCCACCGAGGCAACAAGAAGAGGCAAACUGAAAAUUUGAAAGUGGCAUUCAGACAACAUGUAUAUGGAAAACGUGGUCUGAUGCCUUAUACAUGCAUGCAUCAACUAAUGGCUUGUCUGGCCGUGUGUCCAUUUAGAUCAAAUUAGAACACUUGAAGAAAAGAAAAAAAAAGCCUUAGACCAACCCUGACUCUCUCUUUUCACAACUCCACAGCUACCCGGCCCCCGACUCACUCCACAACUUACCCCACUUUGAAGCCCUAAACCCUAAAUCCACCACCUCUGAAGCGCCGUCUUUUUGGUACCAACCCCUACCUCCGAAGCCCUAAAUCUGAGAUUCAUCUUCGAAUCUGGUUAGUUCUCGUCCUCUCGAAUCUGGCUUUGAUUAACUGAUGGUUUACGGGUUCUUCACUUUUGAUUUGGGAUUCUUCACAAAUCACAUUACCCAAGGCGACCUCUCUUUAUAUGAGCAGAAGAACCCGAAGCUCAAGCUCCUUCGACCUCAUGAACGGUUUAAGAGAUCGAGUCGGUGCCUAGCACAGAUGACGAAGAACCCCAUCGCAGCUGUCCAGCUCCAAAGCUGAUUCUCUCUCGAAAGGUAAACGUCCCCAAUGUAAUUUCAAUUGAAAUUUCUGGGUUUGGUUCAGAGUCUCCUGUUAUUUUUAUUUUUUUUAGGUUCUUGUGGGAGAGAAUUGGAUUGUAUGUUAAAGUGUGCCCAAGAAGAUGGGUUUGGCUUCAGUUUGAUGCAAGUCCCGGAGAUUCUUGAUUUGGAAUGGCGUUGACGCGGUACCAAAUUUGGAAUGAAUAAAGCUUCGCCGAUCCGGAGCUCUACAAAGCCGCAGAUAGAGAUGAUCUGGAGUUCUUACAGGAAGGCAUCGCCAUGACCGGACUCGUCGGCGUCUUACACAGCUCGGCGACCUUGCAGAGGUCUGCUAUUCAGUUACAUCAGUUGCUUAGAGGUAUUCGGAAGCUUUGGAAGGAGCAGGACAGGGUCUGCUAUUGAUUUUGUUUUGGUAGAGAAUUUGAUUCUAUCCCUUUCCCUGAAAGGGCCAUGUCAUUGGCAUUUGAUAUCCUCAAUGACCUUGUGGAGGUUAGUGGAGAAUUCCCGCCAUGACUCUGCUUCAGGACAAGCGUUCGGACGAAAUUGUUUUCAAGGCUAUGGGAAGAGCUAUCAACAAGACUGACGAUUGUGGAGCUAAUUAAGGUUACAAUGAGACAUCUGUAUCACUAUGCUGGAUGGUUUUAUGUUCACUAGAUCGAAUAGGCUGGCAAGUUUUUGGUUCCAAUUAUAUGACAGUGAGGCAGAAGACCAUUGAGCAUGCCAUGAAGAACCCACCUGAAGCUAUCUAGUGUGCUCCGUCAACAAGUUUUUGGUUUAUGAAGCUAAGACAUUGACCAUGCCAUGAAGAACCCACCUGAAGCUAUCAAGUGUGCUCCAUCAACAAGUUUUUGGUCUACGAAGCUAUCAAGUGCAUUAGCUUAGGAAUUUAAUUCUAGGCUUGGCCUGGGUUUACAGAAUUAGUGUCUGACAAAGUUAAUAGAUGUACUUUUUCUGUGGAAGCUUCAGAGUGUGUGCUCUUUACUUUGUGCAUACAAUAUGGUAAUGAAAUCAUUGAAUCCAUUUUGUUCA